Molecule: unclassified non-coding RNA, 2985 nt
Filed under: Hevea brasiliensis (rubber tree)
Lineage: Eukaryota; Viridiplantae; Streptophyta; Magnoliopsida; Malpighiales; Euphorbiaceae
Source: RNAcentral
GAACUUUCCAAAUAAAAAUGAAAGAAGAAAAUACAAAUCCAACGACGGUCAACAUUGUCCAACGUUUGGUUUGGGUUCUCUUUUCUUGUAGUGUUGUUUGCAUAAUAUUAAUAUUAUUAUUUUUGAAGGAUAUAGCAACAAUGCUAUCAUUAUGAGACGGCAAUCACUUGCAUCACUUCCCCCACCAUUUUUCUUUCUUUCCUUCCUUCCUCCUUUCUUUCCCAACAAAAAUUUAUAGGCCCGUAAGUCUUCGCUUUCUUUGAUUCUUCUCUCAACAAAAUUCAACCAAUCUUCUUAUUUCUUCAGGAGGAUUUGGUUCCACUAUAGGGUUUUUGGCACUUUCUGGGUCUUGGAGAGCUGUAGCUGGAAUUUCGAUCUACAGCUACUGAACCAACUAUUUUGUUAGUUUGGUGAGCAGGUUAUCAAGGACUUGGCAUAAUUGUUGUUUAGCACAAAAUUGGAAGUGUAAAAUUCAAUAUCAACUUGCCAAUUUCUUGAAUUUGGUCUUGAAGACUGUACUUGGAUUUUGUAGUGAUAGUGAGAAAUUGAUAUUUCUUGUUCAGGGAAGUUUGAUUCCUUCAACUCUAAGUAUCCAUGCGUGUUUGAGUUUCAGCUACUUUCUAAUCUGGGUUCUCCCUUUUGCCAACUUGACAAAUUGGAAUUUGAAGAAUUCAUCUGAGUUUCGUGUUGAUUGCCCAAAAUUGUGCUAUGUUUAGAGCUCUAUGAACCCAAGAUUUAUGGGUGUUGAAUUUCAAGCUAAUUUUCUGUAUAGCUUUCUCCACAUAAUUGUUUAAAGAGCAGUGGAUGUGAAUUAUAUAGCUUGAAUUUCCAAGGUUUCUGGGUUGCGAUUUCAUAUGCUCUGACCAUCUAUUCAUUUUAUAUAGCUUAGUUGCAGCGCGCAGAAUUUUGAGAUGUUUUCAUUAUGUUUAAAUUCUCAAAGAUGUAAAUGGAGCACAUUAUUUCAUUGAUGAUGGCUGUUUCUGCAUUGGCUCUUCUGUUAUUGGUGCAAUUUCCAAGUAUAAUAGCCUUUGGGUUGCACAUACAAUCAAAGGUUUGUGGUACCGAUCACAUAGUCUAUUCAAAUUUUGAUGAUCAAGAAUUGUUUUACAUUAAUGGAAGUCCCGUAGACAAAGAUUCAUUUUGCAAGCUCCUUCACUUCCACUAUGCAAAUGGUUGCAUCUUUGAGAGUUAUGAUGGCUGUAGCUACUGUGGGUUGGACCUCUUAUUAGCUAACUUGUCCCUCAAGGGAGGAAGAAAACUUUUGCAAAAGGAGGUCGGGGAACAGUCCAAAAUCCAUGGAGGUCAGGAUAUUCCUCCAAAAGAGAAGAAGAACAAUCCUACAACUUUAACCCCCAAACAUGUCGGCUUAGUAGCAGCUGGAAUUGUUGUCAUAACCUGUGGUCUUUUGUGUCCCUGUUCUCGCAGGAAAAGGAAAGCAACUGCUCACCCUGUUCUUGCUAAGGAUCCAAUUUCAAUGGAUUCAGUAUCCUCUUUCAAUGUGAAUUCCACUCCUGAAAAAGUUCCACCCAGUCCACUUCGGGUGCCACCUAGUCCUUCUAGAUUUUCAAUGUCUCCCAAGCUUAGUAGACUGGGAUCAAUUCAUCUCAAUUUGAAUCAGGCUGCAAGAGCUACACACAAUUUUUCUCCAACACAUCGGAUAGGAGAAGGAGGCUUUGGAACUGUCUACAAGGCCCAACUAGAAAAUGGGCAGGUGGUUGCGAUAAAACGAGCAAAGAAGGAACACUAUGAGAAAUUGCGAACUGAAUUCAGCAGUGAAGUUGAGCUUCUAGCAAAAAUUGAUCAUCGGAAUCUGGUGAAAUUACUUGGUUAUGUUGAAAAAGGAACUGAGCGCCUUAUUAUUACUGAGUAUGUGCCAAAUGGUACUCUUAGAGAACAUUUGGAUGGUCAGCGUGGAAGAAUUCUGGACUUUAAUCAAAGGCUUGAAAUAUCCAUUGAUGUUGCACAUGCAUUAACUUAUCUCCACACAUAUGCAGAGAAGCAGAUUAUCCACCGAGAUGUCAAAUCAUCCAACAUUCUUUUGACGGAGAGCAUGAGGGCCAAGGUUGCUGAUUUUGGAUUUGCAAGACUUGGUCCUGUGGACGCUGAUCAGACUCACAUUUCAACCAAAGUGAAAGGGACAGUGGGUUACCUUGACCCUGAAUAUAUGAAGACUUAUCAGCUGACCCCAAAGAGUGACGUAUACUCAUUUGGGAUUUUACUUCUAGAAAUUCUGACAGGCCGCCGUCCUGUGGAGCUGAAGAGACCUGCAGAUGAGCGGGUUACACUUAGAUGGGUCUUUAGAAAGUAUAACGAAGGAACCGUGGUAGAUAUGGUGGAUCCACUAAUGGAAGAGAAAGUAGAUGGGGAGGUACUCAUGAAAUUGUUUGCUUUGGCAAUCCAGUGUGCUGCACCCAUUCGAGCAGAUCGACCGGACAUGAAAACAGCAGGAGAACAACUGUGGGCAAUAAGGGCAGACUACCUGAAAAGUGCAAGGGCAAGGCGUGGUUAAAAAAAAAAAGAAGAGUGGCCUGCUCAUAUUCUAUUGUGCUCCUUUCAUCACAUUUUCUUUUCAGCCUGUGUAAACAAAUUCCAUUUUAAUGUCAAGACACAAGUUACUUUCAUCUUGGUCCCUUAACCUUGCUUCACUGCUCAUCAUCAUUUUGAGAACAUACUUGGACUUUUGGGCUCUUGGCUACUUCUUGCUCUUUAACUUGUCAUAUAGCAAAAAGUCCUGUCAUGGACAAUGUAUAAAAUGAUGAAGCACAUUUGCUUUGGAAGAUUGCUCUACCAAAUGACAGGUUAUCUGUAUACAACAAUUCUCUGGUUUUUGCGCUUGACGAUGAGAAUAAAAUGAGCAUGAAGUGUGCCAUGUAAUUAGUGGCAAAUUAGUUUGCAUUUCAUCUUGUUAACAUGAUUUGAAUUUUGAAGCCAGGACCUUGUGAAUUCUCUGGUUUUGUUGAAAUUUAAUUAACAAAAAUUGUUUCC